UACAGAGGUCUCAAGCGUUGUUCGGAUUCAUUGGGCGUAAAGGGUGCGUAUGUGGCGCGGUAAGUCGGGUGUGAAAUUUCGGAGCUUAACUCCGAAACUGCAUUCGAUACUGCCGUGCUUGAGGACUGGAGAGGAGACUGGAAUUUACGGUGUAGCAGUGAAAUGCGUAGAGAUCGUAAGGAAGACCAGUGGCGAAGGCGGGUCUCUGGACAGUUCCUGACGCUGAGGCACGAAGGCCAGGGGAGCAAACGGG
This 253-nucleotide ribosomal RNA is filed under the name uncultured bacterium. RNAcentral describes it as "partial 16S ribosomal RNA". It matches the Rfam family "Bacterial small subunit ribosomal RNA", at positions 524 to 776 of the family's 1533-position model. The record is from RNAcentral.